UGGGGAAUAUUGCGCAAUGGGGGGAACCCUGACGCAGCCAUGCCGCGUGAAUGAAGAAGGCCUUCGGGUUGUAAAGUUCUUUCGGUAUUGAGGAAGGUUGAUGUGUUAAUAGCACAUCAAAUUGACGUUAAAUACAGAAGAAGCACCGGCUAACUCCGUACCAGCAGCCGCGGUAAUACGGAGGGUGCGAGCGUUAAUCGGAAUAACUGGGCGUAAAGGGCACGCAGGCGGUUAUUUAAGUGAGGUGUGAAAGCCCCGGGCUUAACCUGGGAAUUGCAUUUCAGACUGGGUAACUAGAGUACUUUAGGGAGGGGUAGAAUUCCACGUGUAGCGGUGAAAUGCGUAGAGAUGUGGAGGAAUACCGAAGGCGAAGGCAGCCCCUUGGGAAUGUACUGACGCUCAUGUGCGAAAGCGUGGGGAGCAAACAGGAUUAGAUACCCUGGUAGUCCACGCUGUAAACGCUGUCGAUUUGGGGGUUGGGGUUUAACUCUGGCGCCCGUAGCUAACGUGAUAAAUCGACCGCCUGGGGAGUACGGCCGCAAGGUUA
This 547-nucleotide ribosomal RNA is filed under the name uncultured bacterium. Its description in RNAcentral is "bacterial SSU rRNA". It matches the Rfam family "Bacterial small subunit ribosomal RNA", at positions 355 to 896 of the family's 1533-position model. The record is from RNAcentral.